UACAGAGGGUGCGAGCGUUAAUCGGAAUUACUGGGCGUAAAGCGCACGUAGGUGGCGACGUAAGUCGGGUGUGAAAGCCCCGGGCUCAACCUGGGAAUUGCAUUCGAGACUGCGUUGCUGGAGUACGGAAGAGGAGGGCGGAAUUCCCGGUGUAGCGGUGAAAUGCGUAGAUAUCAGGAGGAAUACCAGUGGCGAAGGCGGCUUUCUGGGCCUACCCUGACGCUGAGGAGCGAAAGCGUGGGGAGCAAACAGG
RNAcentral lists this ribosomal RNA (253 nucleotides) under uncultured bacterium. RNAcentral's name for it is "partial 16S ribosomal RNA". It matches the Rfam family "Bacterial small subunit ribosomal RNA", at positions 524 to 776 of the family's 1533-position model. The record is from RNAcentral.